AUGCCUCCAUCAAAGCGCAGAGUAAAGCUUCGUAGUGACACUGAGAUUCCCGUGAAACGAAAUACACCCCUGAAGGUAGCACCAAGGCAACGAUAUGUGUCUAAACCGGUGGUCUUCAUCAGACGUUGUGAUACAUUACUAGAGGAGCCUGAAGUGGUUGAUGGAAAUCAGCCUGCAGUUAAAACAGUAAACCCAGUAAAAGUUAGUGCUGCACCGCUUCACUGCAAACGCGUUCCAGGCAUAAGUACCCCUGCAAGUUAUGACGGCACAAGAACUUCCACACCUGUUACACCAGCCAAUAAACAACCUUAUCUAAAUAUGGAAGAGAUGAUCAUGCUAGAGGCUUUUAAAAGUGAAGAAACUCCAGGAAGUGUCACGUCUUACAGCACGGAGCCAACUUUCAACUCUGAUGAUGAUGAUGAGGAUGAUGAUGAUGACACUCCCUACUCAUCUUCCUCCACCUUGAGCAGCCUUCCCUCCCCAGAGAUCUUCAGAAAAGAAAGCAGCGCUUUUCCAAAUGAGGACGAGUUACUGGGUCUGCAUUUUCUGCAUGUUAAAAAUUCCACCUUGUUGGACGUUAGUCAUGCAGAGAACGUGCACACGCAUCAUCCAUCCAACAUUUCUGCCAUCUUAGAUGCCUCUACAAGUCUUGCUGCAAAGAACCAUGAGAUCAGCCAACCGAGAAGACCUGAAGAUAAAAGCAAACCACAAAUGGACUCAGAAAGUCGCUCGAAAGGGAAAGCUUCACCAAAACUCACUGGGAGAACGCAUGUUGUCCGUAAGAAGAAGGUUUGGUUUAAAAGUCCCAUCGCUGCUGAGAUUUCCAAAGCCAAACCUUUCACAUCCUCCACGUCAACACUUCAGAACACCAGUGAGUCAUCCAGCCCUCGUGGAAAAGUCACACCUGAUACGAAGAUCGGUUGUAAAACUAAAACAUCGCCUCAUUUGAUGACUCUGAAAAUACCUGUGAAAUCUGGUUCUGAGCAAGCCUUGUUCUUUGAUUUUGUCAGUAAUGAUGAAAGGGAAGCCUUUUUUAAGAAGAUGAGAGAAAGGUGUGCCAAACUCACAAGUUCUGUUUUCUUUCCUUUUGGACUAGGUGCACAAAAUAGCCUGUGAUAGCUAAAUACAUCUUGAUUUGUGAUUAAUUUUUUUGUCCUAUUGUCUAUCAUUUUGUGUAGGACACCUUUUCUGUUUGUCCCUUAACAGUAAACAUAUUUUACAGGGUGACGUGACUCUAAGGAAAUGAAUGGAGACAAACGUAUGUGUUAGUUUCAUCUAGAAGCUAAUCAGUUCUAUUUGCAUGGUUCAAGUUGGUAUGCUGCGGCUCAAUGAGAACAUUCAAAUGAAAAGAUGCUCUACCUUCACUUUUUACAUGCUAUCAAAAUUAUCAUUACAAAAAGUGACCACUAGGGGACACGCCUAGCUAUACUUUAGCACUAGUCCUGAAAAAGAGUUUAUUUGUGAUUUAUGUUUGUAAAAUACUCCGACCUAUUUGUACUUUUAUUUGGUGUUAAUUUAUGUAAAUGUUGCUCGUUUGUCUCUUACUCUUUACUUUAGCUGAAAAAAUAUGAAUGUAAAUUUUGAAAGUGUUUGUAAGGUUACUUUUUAGUGUUUAUGUGUAUAUUUAUUUAAAAUUGUACUUGUGUCUCAAAAUAUUGAUAAUAAAAGGAGGAAAUAAAACGUUUUUGUACAUUUUAUGCUAUUGCUAUUAGUGCAUUUUUCAUGUGCUGGCCUUUAACUGUGAGUUGCUGGUCGGUCGGAAUUAGCACACAUUUUUGUGAAUACAUUUCAUGCUGUCACGAUUCCGGUUCUAUGGCAAGCCAAAUGAGCAUUUAUUCUGAUAUCAGGAUAUCAGCCAGCAUUGUCAUGAACAUGUAAGCCAUUUCUGUCCACUAGUUAACUAGUUAGACAUGUUUGUGUCAACUAGUUAAAUAGUGACAGCCUAAAUGUCAACUAGUUAACUAGUAAGGCCUAAAUUCUCUCUAGUUAACUAGUUAAAAUGUUUCAUAUCUUACUAGUUAACUAGUAUUGCUCAGUGUGUUCACUAGUUAACUAGUGGACAGAUCAAUGUCCACUAGUUAACUAGUUAAAACACAUUUAGUUUUUACUAGUCAACUAGUAAGGUACAAAAACUCGUACUAGCUGACUACUGAAUGUAAAAAUCCCACUUGUUAACUUUGCCCAAUUUGGCCAGCCGCUUGAGCAUUAAUUCUGAUAUCUUGUCAACAGGUCAACUAGUUAACUAGUGAGGGUCAAACUGUACACGCUAGUUAACUAGUGAACACAUUUUGACCUUCACUAGUUAACUAGUUGACACAAAAAUGGCUCAUUAGUUAACUAGUAAAGGCCAAAAUGCAUACCAGUCAGCUAGUUGAAGGUAUUUGUGUCUCACUAGUUAACUAGUCAGGGUCAAAAUGAGCCCACCAGUUAACUAGUGGGAGACGGAAAUGUUCACUAGUUAACUAGUGAACACAUUUUGGCUUCACUAGUUAACUAGUUGUCACAUAAAUGGCUCACUAGUUAACUAGUAAAGGCCAAAAUGCAUACCAGUCAGCUAGUUGAAGGUUUUUGUGUCUCACUAGUUAACUAGU
This is a long non-coding RNA of Nothobranchius furzeri (turquoise killifish), 2591 nucleotides long. NCBI's taxonomy places the organism in Eukaryota, Metazoa, Chordata, Actinopteri, Cyprinodontiformes, Nothobranchiidae. The record is from Ensembl.